This is a long non-coding RNA of Ipomoea nil (Japanese morning glory), 108 nucleotides long. RefSeq lists it as uncharacterized. The record is from RefSeq and is a predicted model, not a curated record. NCBI's taxonomy places the organism in Eukaryota, Viridiplantae, Streptophyta, Magnoliopsida, Solanales, Convolvulaceae. The transcript is spliced from 3 exons.
GCAGGGAAGAUUCUAGCUGUGGUUCGGUUUGUCUGCAACAAAUUAAAACGAAGUUUCACAAGCGUUUCAACUGCUAAACUUCAAUUGAAUUCAUCCUUUUAGUAAUCA